UACGUAGGGGGCUAGCGUUGUCCGGAAUCAUUGGGCGUAAAGCGCGUGUAGGCGGUCCGGUAAGUCCGCUGUGAAAGUCGGGGGCUCAACCCUCGAAUGCCGGUGGAUACUGUCGGGCUAGAGUGCGGAAGAGGCGAGUGGAAUUCCUGGUGUAGCGGUGAAAUGCGCAGAUAUCAGGAGGAACACCAAUUGCGAAGGCAGCUCGCUGGGACGUUACUGACGCUGAGGCGCGAAGGCUAGGGGAGCAAACAGG
This 253-nucleotide ribosomal RNA is filed under the name uncultured bacterium. Its description in RNAcentral is "partial 16S ribosomal RNA". It matches the Rfam family "Bacterial small subunit ribosomal RNA", at positions 524 to 776 of the family's 1533-position model. The record is from RNAcentral.